This 277-nucleotide ribosomal RNA is filed under the name uncultured bacterium. RNAcentral's name for it is "partial 16S ribosomal RNA". It matches the Rfam family "Bacterial small subunit ribosomal RNA", at positions 79 to 348 of the family's 1533-position model. The record is from RNAcentral.
CUAAGUUUGAUGGCGACCGGCGCACGGGUGAGUAACACGUAUCCAACCUGCCGAUGACUCGGGGAUAGCCUUUCGAAAGAAAGAUUAAUACCCGAUGGCAUAGUUCUUCCGCAUGGUAGAACUAUUAAAGAAUUUCGGUCAUCGAUGGGGAUGCGUUCCAUUAGGUUGUUGGCGGGGUAACGGCCCACCAAGCCUUCGAUGGAUAGGGGUUCUGAGAGGAAGGUCCCCCACAUUGGAACUGAGACACGGUCCAAACUCCUACGGGAGGGCCAGCAUG